UAUUCCCUGCCCCGUUCGAGGCACGCUGGGUUACUUCUUGAGCCUAAUCUAAAACCCCGGGAGCAUCAGACCACCGAUGUGCGCAAGCCCGCCCGGAGCGGGAAGCCUGAUUCGGGGUUCGCUGAUCCCACCUGAACCAUACGGUUCAAGGGCGAAAGCGGGUUACGGCGAUGGCGGGGAAUAC
RNAcentral lists this non-coding RNA (184 nucleotides) under Methylococcaceae bacterium. RNAcentral's name for it is "6S RNA". It matches the Rfam family "6S / SsrS RNA". Rfam says of the family: E. coli 6S RNA was the first non coding RNA to be sequenced, but its function was unknown until recently. It consists of 184 nucleotides that fold into an extended hairpin structure with a large single-stranded internal bulge. Lineage: Bacteria; Pseudomonadati; Pseudomonadota; Gammaproteobacteria; Methylococcales; Methylococcaceae. The record is from RNAcentral.